AUUCGGCUGAUGAAGCCCAAACAGGAUGAAACGCACGUCCUGGAU
This 45-nucleotide non-coding RNA is filed under the name Schistosoma mansoni. Lineage: Eukaryota; Metazoa; Platyhelminthes; Trematoda; Strigeidida; Schistosomatidae. The record is from RNAcentral.